RNAcentral lists this ribosomal RNA (555 nucleotides) under uncultured archaeon. RNAcentral's name for it is "bacterial SSU rRNA". It matches the Rfam family "Archaeal small subunit ribosomal RNA", at positions 325 to 879 of the family's 1478-position model. The record is from RNAcentral.
ACGGGGUGCAGCAGGCGCGAAACCUUUACACUGCACGAACGUGCGAUAAGGGGACUCCAAGUGCGAGGGCAUACAGUCCUCGCUUUUUCCUACCGUAAGGAGGUAGGCGAAUAAGAGCUGGGCAAGACCGGUGCCAGCCGCCGCGGUAAUACCGGCAGCUCGAGUGAUGGCCACUAUUAUUGGGCCUAAAGCGUCCGUAGCUGGCCGAACAGGUCCGUCGGGAAAUCCGCUCGCUCAACGAGCGGACGUCCGGCGGAAACCAGUCGGCUUGGGACCGGAGGACCCGAGGGGUACGUCCGGGGUAGGAGUGAAAUCCUGUAAUCCUGGACGGACCACCGGUGGCAAAAGCGCCUCGGGAGGACGGAUCCGACAGUGAGGGACGAAAGCUUGGGUCACGAACCGGAUUAGAUACCCGGGUAGUCCAAGCUGUAAACGAUGCUCGCUAGGUGUGGCACUGGCUACGAGCCAGUGCUGUGCCGUAGGGAAGCCGAGAAGCGAGCCGCCUGGGAAGUACGUCCGCAAGGAUGAAACUUAAAGGAAUUGGCGGGGGAGCAC